RNAcentral lists this ribosomal RNA (773 nucleotides) under uncultured prokaryote. RNAcentral's name for it is "bacterial SSU rRNA". It matches the Rfam family "Bacterial small subunit ribosomal RNA", at positions 28 to 819 of the family's 1533-position model. The record is from RNAcentral.
GAUGAACGCUGACAGAAUGCUUAACACAUGCAAGUCGAUUCAAGUUACCUUCGGGUAAUGAGGAUGGCGGACGGGUGAGUAACGCGUAAGGAACUUGCCUCUUGGUCUGGGACAACUGUUGGAAACGACAGCUAAUACCGGAUAUUAUGAGAUUCUCGCAUGGGAAACUUAUGAAAGCUAUAUGCGCCAAGAGAGAGCCUUGCGUUCCAUUAGCUAGUUGGUGGGGUAACGGCCCACCAAGGCGACGAUGGAUAGCCGGCCUGAGAGGGUGAACGGCCACAAGGGGACUGAGACACGGCCCUUACUCCUACGGGAGGCAGCAGUGGGGAAUAUUGGACAAUGGACCAAAAGUCUGAUCCAGCAAUUCUGUGUGCACGAUGAAGGUCUUCGGAUUGUAAAGUGCUUUCAGUUGGGAAGAAGCAAGUGACGGUACCAACAGAAGAAGCGACGGCUAAAUACGUGCCAGCAGCCGCGGUAAUACGUAUGUCGCAAGCGUUAUCCGGAUUUAUUGGGCGUAAAGCGCGUCUAGGCGGAAAAAUAAGUCUGAUGUUAAAAUGCGGGGCUCAACUCCGUAUUGCGUUGGAAACUGUUUUUCUAGAGUACUGGAGAGGUGGGCGGAACUACAAGUGUAGAGGUGAAAUUCGUAGAUAUUUGUAGGAAUGCCGAUGGAGAAGUCAGCUCACUGGACAGAUACUGACGCUGAAGCGCGAAAGCGUGGGGAGCAAACAGGAUUAGAUACCCUGGUAGUCCACGCCGUAAACGAUGAUCACUAG